Molecule: long non-coding RNA, 1140 nt
Filed under: Panax ginseng (ginseng)
Lineage: Eukaryota; Viridiplantae; Streptophyta; Magnoliopsida; Apiales; Araliaceae
Description: long non-coding RNA (PGIN_LNC005118)
Source: RNAcentral
GAACGGUAUAUUAAACCUUUUGAAAUAAAUCAAGCAUGAGUUGUAAAAGGGCAGUCUUGCCAAGUUUUGGAAUGCUGAGUUUCAUGGGAAGCAGGAGGUGGCAUGAGAUAAGUACAUUAAACCUCCACUAAUAGAUCAUAAGCUGGAGGUGUCAAGCUCUAAAUUAAUAUUGGGAUUUUCAUUCUAAGUAUGAGCUGUGUAAUAUUUAUGCUAGUAUAAUAAAAACUAAGCAAUUACUAGGUAAAGCAAGGCUAGGUAGUUGGGAAAAAAAACUAAGAAUAGUUUUUUUUUUACCCUGUUUGCUCCGUUCCAUAUCUUCGUUCUCUUUCUAUUAUCAAACUUCCAUUACUUCCUCUUGAGUUUCGGCUAAAGCAAAGGAAGAGAGCCAAGAAGUAAGCUUGUAAACUGGGGUGGGAAUGGAAUUCAAAUAGCUGUAGUAGCAAAAAGGGAGUGUAUAAGUUGAUCAUUAAAGUAAAUUUCAGCGAACUAUAAUUGGUGCAAGGUAACAACAAUGAUCAUAAUUAUUUUGUUUAGAAAAUUGUAAAGUUAUUGCUUAUGUUUCAUUAUUGUUAUACUUGGUUUGUGAUUGGGAUGUGAAUUAGUUUAAGGAGGUUUAUGCAGGACAUAUGGAGUGAUAAGGUUUGAAAGUUUUAGUUAAAUUCAUGUAUGAGAUUUGUUUUAAAAAGGGACGCACAUAAAGUGUUUGUAAAAUAGUCUCUUAGAGGCUGUCAUGCAUUAAAAAAAAUUUGAUUAAGGUUGUUAACAAAGAAACCUCCAUAUAUAUUAUAUGAAGUAAUUCAAAUGGUUUGGGUAAGUCCAAGUGGAUUUAGAAAUGAAUUUAUGAGAAUUGAAACAAAUUGGAAUUGGCUAAAAAACUGUAACUAUGUGGAGGGAAUCAUGGGAAUAAUAAUUGUGCCAAAUAGUUUGUUAAAUGAUCAAAUAUGUUGUUGACCAUUACGUGAAUUCCCUCCAUUUAUUGCUGCACUUUCUUGAGCUAAUUCAUCCCAUUAGUGGAAAUAUUACCUUUAUACUUGGUAUAAUAUCUUGGGCAGAUCACUUCUUUAUUAAGAAAAUUGCUUGUCAUCACCUAGUCGUUGGUGGUGGAGUAUGCUGAGUAUUACAGGUUAUGCUGAAGUUUAA